This 27-nucleotide non-coding RNA is filed under the name Bombyx mori (domestic silkworm). The record is from RNAcentral. Lineage: Eukaryota; Metazoa; Arthropoda; Insecta; Lepidoptera; Bombycidae.
UGUAAACAUAUCGGGGCCAGUCAUCUU